AUUGAACGCUGGCGGCAUGCCUUACACAUGCAAGUCGAACGGUAACGGGCCUUCGGGUGCCGACGAGUGGCGCACGGGUGAGUAAUACAUCGGAACGUGCCCGAUCGUGGGGGAUAACGAGGCGAAAGCUUUGCUAAUACCGCAUACGAUCUACGGAUGAAAGCAGGGGACCGCAAGGCCUUGCGCGGACGGAGCGGCCGAUGGCAGAUUAGGUAGUUGGUGGGAUAAAAGCUUACCAAGCCGACGAUCUGUAGCUGGUCUGAGAGGAUGAUCAGCCACACUGGGACUGAGACACGGCCCAGACUCCUACGGGAGGCAGCAGUGGGGAAUUUUGGACAAUGGGCGCAAGCCUGAUCCAGCCAUGCCGCGUGCAGGAUGAAGGCCUUCGGGUUGUAAACUGCUUUUGUACGGAACGAAAAGCCUUCUUUUAAUACAGGAGGGUCAAGGCGGUACCGUAAGAAUAAGCACCGGCUAACUACGUG
This 482-nucleotide ribosomal RNA is filed under the name uncultured bacterium. Its description in RNAcentral is "partial 16S ribosomal RNA". It matches the Rfam family "Bacterial small subunit ribosomal RNA", at positions 30 to 507 of the family's 1533-position model. The record is from RNAcentral.